GCACUGGUGUGAAUUGACCGAAGUGGCUAAAAAGGAAGGAGGUGCCUCCAUGUGCUCUGCUGGUGUGGUUUCCUUGCAUACUGGUACUCCUCUGCAGCUUGGAAUAACAGUAGGCAUACUAUGAAGCAAACAAGUAACCUAUUCUGAUUACACUCCAUGACUGCCAAAGACUCUGAAGAUUAUCAUAGUUUUGUGGAGUACUGUCAUGAUUUGUUGUCUUUCACCACCAGUUCAGUGACGUUUUGGCUUUACUCCCAGAAACCAACAAAUGACUGAGAGGA
Long non-coding RNA from Rhea pennata, 281 nucleotides. RefSeq lists it as uncharacterized. The record is from RefSeq and is a predicted model, not a curated record. NCBI's taxonomy places the organism in Eukaryota, Metazoa, Chordata, Aves, Rheiformes, Rheidae. The transcript is spliced from 3 exons.